UUUGGCCUUCAUCGAAGCUUACAUAUUUUCAUUUGAAUAUGGAAGUCUAAAAUAGGCCAAUAUUAACGUCCCCCAUCGGUCGCGGUUUAGAUGAUAUUUCUUCAACGUAUUACCAAGGGAGGAUUACAUUU
Melitaea cinxia (Glanville fritillary) is the source of this 131-nucleotide small nucleolar RNA. The record is from RefSeq and is a predicted model, not a curated record. Lineage: Eukaryota; Metazoa; Arthropoda; Insecta; Lepidoptera; Nymphalidae.